UCUCCAUUAUCUCGGCCUCUUUGGCAUCGC
This 30-nucleotide small RNA is filed under the name Bombyx mori (domestic silkworm). RNAcentral's name for it is "piRNA piR-bmo-1880878". The record is from RNAcentral. Lineage: Eukaryota; Metazoa; Arthropoda; Insecta; Lepidoptera; Bombycidae.